Molecule: ribosomal RNA, 432 nt
Filed under: uncultured bacterium
Lineage: Bacteria
Description: partial 16S ribosomal RNA
Rfam family: Bacterial small subunit ribosomal RNA
Source: RNAcentral
ACGAACGCUGGCGGCAUGCCUAACACAUGCCAGUCGAACGAGACCUUCGGGUCUAGUGGCGCACGGGUGCGUCACGCGUGGGAACCUGCCCUUAGGUUCGGAAUAACUCCCCGAAAGGGGUGCUAAUACCGGAUAAUGUCUUCGGACCAAAGAUUUAUCGCCUUUGGAUGGGCCCGCGUUGGAUUAGCUAGUUGGUAGGGUAAAAGCCUACCAAGGCGACGAUCCAUAGCUGGUCUGAGAGGAUGAUCAGCCACACUGGGACUGAGACACGGCCCAGACUCCUACGGGAGGCAGCAGUAGGGAAUAUUGGACAAUGGGCGAAAGCCUGAUCCAGCAAUGCCGCGUGAGUGAUGAAGGCCUUAGGGUUGUAAAGCUCUUUUACCCGGGAUGAUAAUGACAGUACCGGGAGAAUAAGCUCCGGCUAACUCCGUG